AGCAGAGUAAGGAUAAACGCGUUAAGUGUGGUCUGAACGGGGAGUUGUCAGACUGACGAAAAUCAAUUAACAAUAUCGUUGAUUGUUUGCGGUGUAUAUCCUGCAUCCCGCUGCU
Molecule: non-coding RNA, 115 nt
Filed under: Clostridiales bacterium
Lineage: Bacteria; Bacillati; Bacillota; Clostridia; Eubacteriales
Description: THF-I sequence
Rfam family: THF (Tetrahydrofolate) riboswitch aptamer
About the family: THF riboswitch presents a pseudoknot that joins P1-P2 and the loop of P3 and two THF binding.
Source: RNAcentral